UACAAUCCCGAGCUGCUAGUGAUCAGCCAUCUUGGAUCUCCUAAGCAGUGGAUUAAAUCUGUCCCCAGAAAACUCAGGAAUAGUCCCCCGUGGUUGUUCCCUCCCCUCUCAACAUGUCAGCCACAAGAGCGCAGGAUCACACCAGCAGGAGGCGAGCAAGGUCGGAUUGUCCAAGGCCUGCUGUGCUCCUUGGGGAUGUGACCAGAGCUCUGAAGCACAGGCUCCCCAAGUGUGCUCUUCCCUUGCCCCUCGAGUGUGGCAUCCUCCCUCAGCUUGUAUGUCUGGGCUUCAUGUUCUGAGGCAGGAAACUGGAUGUUGCUGAGGUACAGCUGCUCAGCUGGGACCACAGGAGGCAGAAGCAGAAGGUGAGA
Non-coding RNA from Saimiri boliviensis boliviensis (Bolivian squirrel monkey), 371 nucleotides. Lineage: Eukaryota; Metazoa; Chordata; Mammalia; Primates; Cebidae. The record is from RefSeq and is a predicted model, not a curated record.